RNAcentral lists this ribosomal RNA (253 nucleotides) under uncultured bacterium. Its description in RNAcentral is "partial 16S ribosomal RNA". It matches the Rfam family "Bacterial small subunit ribosomal RNA", at positions 524 to 776 of the family's 1533-position model. The record is from RNAcentral.
UACGUAGGGGGCAAGCGUUACUCGGAAUUACUGGGCGUAAAGCGUGCGUAGGUGGUUCGUUAAGUCUGAUGUGAAAGCCCUGGGCUCAACCUGGGAAUGGCAUUGGAAACUGGCGACCUAGAGUGCGGUAGAGGGCAGUGGAAUUCCCGGUGUAGCAGUGAAAUGCGUAGAGAUCGGGAGGAACAUCUGUGGCGAAGGCGACUGCCUGGACCAGCACUGACACUGAGGCACGAAAGCGUGGGGAGCAAACAGG